Nocardioides sp. JS614 is the source of this 46-nucleotide regulatory RNA element. It matches the Rfam family "L31-Actinobacteria ribosomal protein leader". NCBI's taxonomy places the organism in Bacteria, Bacillati, Actinomycetota, Actinomycetes, Propionibacteriales, Nocardioidaceae. The record is from Rfam.
CUGGCUCCGGUUCACGGCUCUCGCAGGGAGAGGCGACCCGGCGGCC